Molecule: long non-coding RNA, 387 nt
Filed under: Equus caballus (horse)
Lineage: Eukaryota; Metazoa; Chordata; Mammalia; Perissodactyla; Equidae
Description: lncRNA (ENSECAG00000058406.1)
Source: RNAcentral
AUUCUGAGGGGCGCGUGUUCUCGUUAGCAGAAAACUCAGGAAGACAGAUUAUUCAGGACCCGCCUGCCCUCCCCCGGAUUUUCUUUAAUAGUGAAAUGACAAAUAACGGAUGGGCACAGUAUGGAGAGGAAGGGACAGAGUCAAGAGACACUUCAUUCACUCAUUCAUUCAGUCAGUCAACAGACCGUGCUGAGUAUCUUCUUUCUUCCAGGGGGUGUCCAUCUCUGGGGAGCUGUCCUGGGCAUCGGUGUCCUCCUGCCUCAACUGUGGAUUGCUUUUAAGGAGAGGAAGAACAGUGAAGGGGCGUGUGGACAGCGUGCCGCCCUUGCUCGUACAGGCACAGACCAUCCCUGGAGCCCGGGUGUCAAGGUCGGGGAGAAGCAGGAG